This 468-nucleotide ribosomal RNA is filed under the name uncultured bacterium. RNAcentral describes it as "partial 16S ribosomal RNA". It matches the Rfam family "Bacterial small subunit ribosomal RNA", at positions 28 to 507 of the family's 1533-position model. The record is from RNAcentral.
GAUGAACGCUGGCGGCGUGCUUAACACAUGCAAGUCGAACGGAAAGGCCCAAGCUUGCUUGGGUACUCGAGUGGCGAACGGGUGAGUAACACGUGGGAGAUCUGCCCUGCACUCCGGGAUAAGCCUGGGAAACUGGGUCUAAUACCGGAUAGGACGAUGGUGUGGAUGCCAUUGUGGAAAGUUUUUUCGGUGUGGGAUUAGCUCGCGGCCUAUCAGGUUGUUGGUGGGGUAUUGGGCUACCAAGGCUUCGACGGGGAGCCGGCCUGAGGGGGUCGACGGUCAGAUUGGGCCCGGGCUACGGCCCAGGCUAGUACGGGGGGCAGCAGUGGGGAAGACGGAACAAUGGGGCAGAGCCUGAGGGAGCGAGGUCGCGGGGGGGAUGACGGCCUUCGGGUUGGAAACUCCUGUCGCUAGGGACGAAGCAUGUUUGUGACGGUACCUGGAGAAGAAGCACCGGCUAACUACGUG